This 253-nucleotide ribosomal RNA is filed under the name uncultured bacterium. Its description in RNAcentral is "partial 16S ribosomal RNA". It matches the Rfam family "Bacterial small subunit ribosomal RNA", at positions 524 to 776 of the family's 1533-position model. The record is from RNAcentral.
UACGGAGGGUGCAAGCGUUAAUCGGAAUUACUGGGCGUAAAGCGCGCGUAGGCGGUUUGGUAAGUCGGAUGUGAAAGCCCCGGGCUCAACCUGGGAAUUGCAUUCGAUACUGCCGGGCUAGAGUAUGGUAGAGGGAAGUGGAAUUUCCGGUGUAGCGGUGAAAUGCGUAGAUAUCGGAAGGAACACCAGUGGCGAAGGCGACUUCCUGGGCCAAUACUGACGCUGAGGUGCGAAAGCGUGGGGAGCAAACAGG